This is a non-coding RNA of Parelaphostrongylus tenuis, 73 nucleotides long. Lineage: Eukaryota; Metazoa; Nematoda; Chromadorea; Rhabditida; Metastrongylidae. The record is from the annotation of a GenBank genome assembly.
GCGUUGGUGGUGCAACGGUUCAGUACACGCUCCAGUAAGGAGUGAGAUCUGGGUUUGAAUCCCAGCUGACGCC